Molecule: ribosomal RNA, 117 nt
Filed under: Mustela putorius furo (domestic ferret)
Lineage: Eukaryota; Metazoa; Chordata; Mammalia; Carnivora; Mustelidae
Source: RNAcentral
GUCUACGGCCAUACCACCCUGAACGCACCCGAUCUCGUCUGAUCUCGGAAGGUAAGCAGGGUCGGGCCUGGUUAGUACUUGGAUGGGAAACAUCUGACUUCAGCUCAGGUCAUGAUC